UACAGAGGUCCCAAGCGUUGUUCGGAUUCACUGGGCGUAAAGGGUGCGUAGGUGGUCGGGUAAGUCUGACGUGAAAUCUCCGGGCCUAACUCGGAAACUGCGUUGGAUACUAUCCGGCUCGAGGAAUGGAGGGGAGACUGGAAUACUUGGUGUAGCAGUGAAAUGCGUAGAUAUCAAGUGGAACACCAGUGGCGAAGGCGGUUACCUGGACAGUUACUGACGCUCAGGCACGAAAGCGUGGGGAGCAAAAGGG
RNAcentral lists this ribosomal RNA (253 nucleotides) under uncultured prokaryote. RNAcentral describes it as "partial 16S ribosomal RNA". It matches the Rfam family "Bacterial small subunit ribosomal RNA", at positions 524 to 776 of the family's 1533-position model. The record is from RNAcentral.